RNAcentral lists this ribosomal RNA (1086 nucleotides) under seawater metagenome. Its description in RNAcentral is "bacterial LSU rRNA". It matches the Rfam family "Bacterial large subunit ribosomal RNA", at positions 829 to 1976 of the family's 2925-position model. The record is from RNAcentral.
CCAAUCAAACUCGGAGAUAGCUGGUUCUCCGCGAAAUCUAUUUAGGUAGAGCGUCAUCCGAAUACCCCGGGGGGUAGAGCACUGGAUGGGUAAUGGGGCCCCACAGGCUUACUGAUCCUAACCAAACUCCGAAUACCCGGGAGUAAUAGAUGGCAGACACACUGCGGGUGCUAACGCCCGUAGUGAAAAGGGAAACAACCCUGACCGACAGUUAAGGCCCCUAAUUCAUGGCUAAGUGGAAAAGCAGGUGAGACGACCAUAACAACCAGGAAGUUGGCUUAGAAGCAGCCAUCUUUUAAAGAUAGCGUAACAGCUCACUGGUCUAAUUAAGUUGUCUUGCGGCGAAAAUGUAACGGGGCUCAAGCCAUGAGCCGAAACUUCGGAUGCAUUUAUGCAUGGUAGCGGAGCGUAGUGUGACAUAGUUCCAUGCGUCUUUAACUUCCUUCGGGGAGUAUUGGACGCAAGGAGCUUUCUGUGAAGCCGGCCUGUGAGGGAUCCGGUGGAGAGAUCACUAGUGAGAAUGAUGACAUGAGUAACGACAAAGGGGGUGAGAGACCCCCUCGCCGAAAAUCCAAGGGUUCCUGCUUAAAGCUAAUCUGAGCAGGGUGAGCCGGCCCCUAAGCCGAGGGCGAAAGCCGUAGGCGAUGGGAACCAGGUUAAUAUUCCUGGGCCAGGAGGAAGUGACGGAUCAUGAAGAUUGUUGGAUCAGGCGUAGUUGCCCCAGCAGUUAAUUGGUUCCUGGAAAUAGCCCUCCAUCAGACCGUACCCUAAACCGACACAGGUGGAUAGGUAGAGUAUACCAAGGCGCUUGAGAGAACUAUGUUGAAGGAACUCGGCAAAAUACCUCCGUAAGUUCGCGAGAAGGAGGCCCGGUUUCUAGGCAACUGGAAGCUGGGGGCACAAACCAGGGGGUGGCGACUGUUUACUAAAAACACAGGGCUCUGCGAAGUCGUAAGACGACGUAUAGGGUCUGACGCCUGCCCGGUGCCUGAAGGUUAAAAGGAGGGGUGAGAGCUCCGAAUUGAAGCCCAGGUAAACGGCGGCCGUAACUAUAACGGUCCUAAGGUAGCGAAAUUCCUUGUCGGG